GUGGGCGUGCCGGAGUGGUUAUCGGGCACUAUUAGAAAUCAUGUGGGUUUUGCCUGCGUAGGUUCGAAUCCUACCGCUCACG
This 82-nucleotide transfer RNA is filed under the name Ipomoea nil (Japanese morning glory). It matches the Rfam family "tRNA". From Rfam's summary of the family: Transfer RNA (tRNA) molecules are approximately 80 nucleotides in length. Their secondary structure includes four short double-helical elements and three loops (D, anti-codon, and T loops). The record is from Rfam by way of RNAcentral. Lineage: Eukaryota; Viridiplantae; Streptophyta; Magnoliopsida; Solanales; Convolvulaceae.